GUUAAACACACCGCAACGCAACGUAACAUCUCCAAAGAGACGUAUCCAGAGGCCAAACGACUUAACUCUCAAGCCCCACCUCCACCCUGACACCCAGCCCCAGAGGCUUCAUGGUGGGGCACUUUCAUUAUUAUCUGGAUGAAUUUUCACAAUGUAUUGCAGCACUGUUCAAGAUUGCAUGCGUACUUCAUAGCAGAAACAAACGAGCAGCAAUCUCGGACCAUAAGGUACUGCAGAGAUUCCGAGACAACUUACCACAAGAGUGUCCAAGGUGUCAAUCAGCGUGAGAGAGAACCUCGAGAAGAAAGGACGCACACAUGUGUUGGGGCAGCAGAAUGAAAGCAGCAGACACCAACAAUCUAAACAAACUCAUCAGGAGGAUUGGCUCAGUGCUGGGAAUUGAGCUGGACUCCCUGGUGACUGCAGCUGAUGAAAGGAUUCUGUGCAAACUUGCUGGCAUCCUGGACAGCACCUCCCACCCUCCGCACUGCGCCCUGAACAGCUACCGAAGCUCCAUCAAGGAGGCUCCACUGAGCACGACAAGAGACCCUCCUCCUUGUGGCCAGGGAGACCUGGGCCGCUAAACUCUCAGUGCUUUCCGGACAUCUUCUGUUUUUAAUAGUAUAUACUACAGGUGAAACACACACAAAAUUCAUGGUACUAACCUCGCCUUUUGGUGCAUGGUUUGAUGCAAUUUUGGUACAGCAGGGAAAAGAAUUUUUGAGAUUGUUAUUAAAAACUGCAAACACAGUCGAA
Brienomyrus brachyistius is the source of this 756-nucleotide long non-coding RNA. RefSeq lists it as uncharacterized. NCBI's taxonomy places the organism in Eukaryota, Metazoa, Chordata, Actinopteri, Osteoglossiformes, Mormyridae. The record is from RefSeq and is a predicted model, not a curated record. The transcript is spliced from 2 exons.